GAUGAACGCUGGCGGCGUGCCUAAUACAUGCAAGUCGAGCGAACAGACGCGGCGCUUGCUCCUCUGACGUUAGCGGCGGACGGGUGAGUAACACGUGGAUAACCUACCUAUAAGACUGGGAUAACUUCGGGAACCCGGAGCUAAUACCGGAUAAUAUAUUUAACCGCAUGGAUCAAUAGUGAAAGACGGUUUUGCUGUCACUUAUAGAUGGUUCCGCGCCGCAUUAGCUAGUUGGUUAGGUAACGGCUUACCAAGGCAACGAUGCGUAGCCGACCUGAGAGGGUGAUCGGCCACACUGGAGCUAGGACACUGACCAGACUCCUACGGGAGGCAGCAGUAGGGAAUCUUCCGCGAUGGGCGAGAGCCUGACGGAGCGACGCCGCGUGAGUGAUGAAGGUCUUCGGAUCGUAAAACUCUGGUAUUAGGGAAGAACAAAUGUGUAAGUAACGAUGCACGUCUUGACGGUACCUAAUCAGAAAGCCACGGCUAACUACGUG
RNAcentral lists this ribosomal RNA (497 nucleotides) under uncultured bacterium. RNAcentral describes it as "partial 16S ribosomal RNA". It matches the Rfam family "Bacterial small subunit ribosomal RNA", at positions 28 to 507 of the family's 1533-position model. The record is from RNAcentral.